RNAcentral lists this ribosomal RNA (451 nucleotides) under uncultured bacterium. Its description in RNAcentral is "bacterial SSU rRNA". It matches the Rfam family "Bacterial small subunit ribosomal RNA", at positions 355 to 796 of the family's 1533-position model. The record is from RNAcentral.
UUCGGAAUAUUCGGCAAUGGACGCAAGUCUGACCGAGCGACGCCGCGUGGAGGAUGAAGGCCCUCUGGGUCGUAAACUCCUGUCACGGGUGAACAAAUCAUUUUAUGCGAACAGCAUGAGAUGUUGAGUUAAGCCUGAGAGGAAGCCCCCGCUAAUCACGUGCCAGCAGCGGCGGUAAUACGUGAGGGGCAAACGUUGUUCGGUGUCACUGGGCUUAAAGGGUGCGUAGGUGGCUAUGUAAGUAAGGUGUGAAAGCCCUCGGCUUACCCGGGGAAUUGCGCCUUAAACUACAUAGCUUGAGGGUCAGAGAGGUUGGAGGAACUCCAGGUGUAGCGGUGAAAUGCGUAGAUAUCUGGGGGAAGGCCGGCGGCGAAGGCGUCCAACUGGCUGAUUCCUGACACUGAGGCACGAAAGCGUGGGGAGCAAACAGGAUUAGAUACCCCGGUAGUCC